Small nuclear RNA from Tupaia belangeri (northern tree shrew), 110 nucleotides. NCBI's taxonomy places the organism in Eukaryota, Metazoa, Chordata, Mammalia, Scandentia, Tupaiidae. The record is from Ensembl.
GUGCUCCCUUUGACAUCACAUGUAUAAAAACUGAAACAAUAUAAAGAAGAUUAACAUGGUCCCUGAGCCAUACUAAUGGCAUCCAAAUUUGUGAAACAUUCCAUAUUUUU